AAUAUUUCUAAUGUUUAUGGAAAUUUAUUAACCACCGUCCUAUUUGCAUUGAAAAAAUAAGGUAUAUUGAUGUGUCAUGGAAAAGCCCAAUGAUGGUCUACGAGAAGAAGCUUAUUCGAAAAUUAUCGCCCAAAACAAGACACAGUUGGAUGCUGAAGCAAAUGGAUCAAUUGAAGUUUGCAAAUUGUACAACCUGGCCCCACUGCAGCACCUGAAACGGGGAAACAAAGUCAAGCUUCCUUGCAAGGAGAACCCAAAGCUUCCCAUUUCCAGCACAAAGGUGGUUUAAAUAAUCUUAAGAUUUUGAUUAGAUUGGCUGCAGUGUGCCAACAUUUUCAAAACCUUUUCAAAAGCAGAAAUGCAACAGCUAAUAAUGGAGGAAAAACUGAAGCUGGCUUCACCGAAACCGGAGAAAGAAAAACCAAGCCAACCCAAUCUUUGAAGAUUUGUUCAGCAGUGUUAUUGACAUUGUGAGUGUUGAAAUCCAGAGACAAUGGAAGCGUGAUGCUUUUGCAGGGCUGCAGCAUAGAGCACUCACUAGGUAUUUUAACUUAACUCUAAUGAAAAGGCUAAUUGUAGAUUUGAUAUAAUGUAUUUUUUUUUUUUUUACUUUUACAGGUCAUGUGCUAUUUUUAUUUUCAUCAAUGGGAAAAUCGGGUAACCUUGCUAACAGGUAGCAAUAUGGUGUGUGUCUACAUUUUCAGUCAUCAAAACUAAUUGGUUUUGCUGGCCAUUUGAUGUUCAAGCUGUAAAUGGAGAUGCUGCCC
Molecule: long non-coding RNA, 767 nt
Organism: Daphnia pulex (common water flea)
Lineage: Eukaryota; Metazoa; Arthropoda; Branchiopoda; Diplostraca; Daphniidae
Exons: 4
Source: RefSeq, a predicted model, not a curated record